UCGGACACGACUGAGCGACUGAACUGAACUGAACUGAACUGAACUGUGCCAACUAAGACCUGGACAGCCAAAUAAAAACAAAUACUAAACUAAUAACUUGAAGAAAGAAAAAAAAAGGCAAACAGACAAUUGCAGUUUGCCUGGGGAUCGAUAGGUGUUUUCAGGGACAUACAGAAGGCAUUCAACAAAUGCCUGUGGAUGAGGAUAAAAAGCUGUCAUCAGUGAAAUCUAGACAUGCCCAGGGCAGGGCAGAAAUCACGGGCAGCCAGAGGCUCUGGGGCUGAAAGCAGCACUUAGACCAGGAAGCAGGACGUGAGCUGAGACCGAGCUCCUCCAGAGGUUCUUUGGGGACCUCGGUUCAUCUGCUGGUUCAACCCCGUGAAAUGGGAAUUAUCAAAGUCUGAAGACCUUCCCUCCAGUGAAGAAACCCUUGGCAACGUGGAGAGGCCUGAACUGUGAGCGGGAGCCCUGGGCUCUGGCCUCAAGUCUGGUGCCAGCGUCUGCCACCUUGAACCAGCCACGUGAGCUCUCUGGAUCUCAGUCCCCUCGGCCCCGGGGUGGCCGGCUGGACAGCAGGUGUGUCCAGAGCCCUGACCAGCCCUGGGGCCUCCCCGAGGUGCUCACGCGAGAGCAGGGAGCUGGGUGCACGCCCACCGCCCAUGGCUUCAGUGCGGGCAGUGCUGCCUCCCGAGGGACCCCCAGAGCACCCAGCCCCAGCGCGUUUAAGGGCAGGGCAGUGUGUCGCAGACUGCCUGCGUUCCUCACUCCUCAACCCUGCCGAUUCAGAAGCUGGACUGGAUCCGACGUCCACCUGCUGCUCCCGGCACGUCUCAGCCGGCAGGAGACAAAGGCGAGCUCACAGGGAGGUGUGAUCCAAGCUGAGUGUCCAGAAACCCUCUUCCUACAAAGCUUCUUGAUCUCAGAGUGGUCAGCGGGUGCCAAUCAACUCCACAACCACUGAUGAGGGGCAGUGCAGACACCAGUCCUCUCUUCCAUAAUGAUCACUGCUGCCCUGCUGGCAAGUGGGGAAACCAGGGCAGGACUGACACCCCCACCCCAGCAGUGACUCCCCCACCCCAGGAGUGACACCCUCACCGGAGUGACACCCCCACCCCAGCAGUCACACCCCCACCCCA
RNAcentral lists this long non-coding RNA (1136 nucleotides) under Capra hircus (goat). RNAcentral's name for it is "lncRNA (ENSCHIG00010007037.1)". The record is from RNAcentral. Lineage: Eukaryota; Metazoa; Chordata; Mammalia; Artiodactyla; Bovidae.